AACAGCACUUCGGUGGCUGACGAGUGGCGCACGGGUGCGUAACGCGUAUACAAUCUACCUUUUACAGGGGGAUAGCCCAGAGAAAUUUGGAUUAAUACCCCAUGGCAUAUAUUUAUGGCAUCAUAUAUAUAUUAAAGAUUCAUCGGUAAGAGAUGAGUAUGCGUUCUAUUAGCUAGUUGGUGCGGUAACGGCGCACCAAGGCUACGAUAGAUAGGGGCCCUGAGAGGGGGAUCCCCCACACUGGUACUGAGACACGGACCAGACUCCUACGGGAGGCAGCAGUGAGGAAUAUUGGACAAUGGGCGAGAGCCUGAUCCAGCCAUGCCGCGUGCAGGAAGACUGCCCUAUGGGUUGUAAACUGCUUUUAUACGGGAAGAAACACCCCCUCGUGAGGGGGCUUGACGGUACCGUAAGAAUAAGGAUCGGCUAACUCCGUGCCAGCAGCCGCGGUAAUACGGAGGAUCCAAGCGUUAUCCGGAAUCAUUGGGUUUAAAGGGUCCGUAGGUGGACGGUUAAGUCAGAGGUGAAAUCCUGCAGCUCAACUGUAGAAUUGCCUUUGAUACUGGUCGCCUUGAGUCAUUGUGAAGUGGUUGGAAUAUGUAGUGUAGCGGUGAAAUGCAUAGAUAUUACAUAGAACACCGAUUGCGAAGGCAGAUCACUAACAAUGUACUGACACUGAUGGACGAAAGCGUGGGGGGCGAACAGGAUUAGAUACCCUGGUAGUCCACGCCGUAAACGAUGGUCACUAGCUGUUCGAACUUCGGUUUGAGUGGCUAAGCGAAAGUGAUAAGUGACCCACCU
RNAcentral lists this ribosomal RNA (801 nucleotides) under uncultured bacterium. RNAcentral describes it as "bacterial SSU rRNA". It matches the Rfam family "Bacterial small subunit ribosomal RNA", at positions 70 to 874 of the family's 1533-position model. The record is from RNAcentral.